GGCCUGGUGGUGUAAUGGAAACAUACCUGCUUCAUGUGCCAACUGUGCUAUUGAUUGUAGCAGGAGAUCCUUGUUCGACUCAAGGCUGGGCCA
This is a non-coding RNA of Mycena latifolia, 93 nucleotides long. The record is from the annotation of a GenBank genome assembly. NCBI's taxonomy places the organism in Eukaryota, Fungi, Basidiomycota, Agaricomycetes, Agaricales, Mycenaceae.